Molecule: ribosomal RNA, 2778 nt
Filed under: Triticum aestivum (bread wheat)
Lineage: Eukaryota; Viridiplantae; Streptophyta; Magnoliopsida; Poales; Poaceae
Description: partial small subunit ribosomal RNA
Source: RNAcentral
AUGAAGGAGCGCUGGUUCUGCUCCACACAGACACAAGUCAUGGGUUACCACCAGCUGCCGCGAGACGAUUCCAGCAGAAAUGUCCAAAGAUCCCUCGUAUUCUGCCGGGUUUAUGUCAGCACCCCAGCCUCGGCCACGCCAGCACUAGGGGACGCCAAGAGGACCAAUCGCGGAGAAGGGCGCGUCAUCGCCAAGCCAACUAGGAUCAAGCAUCCCAACAGAAGAUUCGUGGGCCCUGAAUGGGAGAUCGAUAGCCUAACAACAUGUGAGCGCGCCGCCAUCGCCGAUGCUCGAUCCGCCUCCAUCCUCAAGGCGCUCGACGCGCAGACCACGCGGAUCGACGCCCUCGCCGCAUGGAAGCCCGAUCUCGAGGCGCGCUUCGCGCAGCUCGAGCUCUCGGUCGCCGCGUUGCAAGCCGCAUCGUCCCCCGCGGCGACAACAUCAAGUGGAGUGCCUCGCACUCCGUCGUUGUUCACGACUCCGGGCGAUCUCCACGGGCAAUCCGGCCACGGCAGGUCGCAUCUUCCCGGGGGAUUUCCGUCGGUGACCGUCGAGUCGCCGGCGGGGCCUCCGGUCACGGCUACGGUCGCUAUUCCCCCCGUCAUGUCCGCACCUCUCCUUACAGCCAUGGGUCACCAGCCACCCACCAUGGUGUUCCCUGUCUUCUUGGAGACAAUCCUCAAACUGACACAUCCCUACUUUUUCUUGACUCGAUUUAUCGAGGGGCUUCGACCGGAUAUACGAGCGGUGGUACUACUGCAACGUCCACCGGAUUUGGACACGGCUUGUUCAUUGGCCUUACUCCAGGAAGAAGUGGCUGAGGGCGAGGCCCUGUCAAACAAUUCCAAGGCACGAGCUCAUACAAGUGGCACGUUCUCGCGAGCUUUUCCGUCAUUUUCAGCACCUUCUCAACCUGCCUUCAGCAGGCCAGCAACACCUACAGCUACUGCCGAAGACCGUCGAGGAACAGAUGCAGCAAGGGCAAGUUUAGAUAACAGCAAACUGUCAGCGUUGUGUGCGUUCAGGCGCGCCCGAGGCCUUUGCUUUAAGUGUGGCGAAAGGUGGGGCAAGGAUGACACAUGCCCAACCACGGUGCAGAUGCAUAUUGUCAAAGAAUUGCUCGCACUAUUCAGUACCGAUGACAAUGUGCUGGGUGAUAGACAGGCAGACUGUGCUGAACCAGAGGACGACAAUCUUUGCAUUCUGUCCAUACAUGCAGUGUCAGGGUCAGAAGGUCCAGGUGUAAUGCAGUUACAUGCGUGGCUUCAAGGGAGUGAGGUGUUGUUGCUAGUAGACUCUGGGAGCACUUCUUCUUUUGUGGAUCAACAGUUGGCCAAUCGUCUGACUGGAAUAUCCCCCUUGCCUCAACCAUGCAAGGUUAAGGUGGCUGAUGGAGGGCUCUUGCUGUGUGACAGUUUCAUUCCACACUGUCAGUGGACGUGUCAAGACCGCGAAUUCGUUACAGAUUUCAAGAUCAUUUCCUUGGGGGUGUAUGACGCAAUCUUAGGUAUGGAUUGGCUCAAGAAACACAGUCCUAUGUACAUUGAUUGGGAGGCGCACCACUUGUCAGUUACCACGGCUGCUGGACCAGUUGAACUUCAAGCAGUCACCAAGAACCUGCAGCAGUGCUCAGUUAUUUCAUCCCAAGAGCUGUUAACUUCCUGCAAAAACGGAGCAGUAGCUUAUGUGGUACACCUUAACACUGUUGCAGAUCAGGCUUCUGCCGACAACAGCAUCCCCACUGAACUACUCCGACAAUGGCGUCCAUACUUGCACACGGAGGAGUUUCUGAUCCGCACUGAUCAACGUAGCUUGGUCCAUCUCGAUGAUCAGCGGCUAUCGACAGUUUGGCAGCAGAAAGCAUUUACUAAAUUGCUCGGCUUACGUUACAAGAUUUGUUACAGACAGGGUACUACCAAUAGUGCUGCUGACGCUCUCUCCCGGCGUAUCCACUCUAACGAACAACUAGCAGCCAUUUCUGUCUGCCAACCUGCUUGGAUCAAUGAUAUCCGUGCCAGUUAUGACAACAAUGCACAAACUAUGGUUGGGAGGAUCUCCUACUAUACAACAAAAGACCUGAAAGAAUGGCUCGAAGAGCGCCAGAUGAUGCAGAUUGUUUUGAAGCAACAUUUGCAUCGAGCAAGGCACAUUAUGAAGGUCCAAGCUGACAAGAAACGCAUGGAGCGCUCAUUCAAAACAGGGGAUUCAGUCUUUGUCAAACUGCAACCAUAUGUGCAGACAUCGGUGGCAAAAAGGGCUAACCACAAACUGGCAUUCAGAUACUUUGGGCCAUUUUCAGUCAAACGAGCUAUCAAUCCAGUGGCUUAUGAGCUGAACUUGCCAACAGACUCCAGGAUCCACCCUGUUUUUCAUGUUUCUCAACUGAAGCAAGUCUUGGCUCCAGGUACGGCUGUCUCUUCGAGCUUACCAGUUCCUUCUGACAACUCUCUUGUCCCAGUGGAAAUCUUGAAUAGCCGAUGGCGCCACACACCCUCUGGCCGUCGCGAGCAAUUCCUGGUCCGAUGGUCUGAUCCUGACAUUCUCGACGCCACUUGGGAAGCUGCUCUUUCCCUCCGCCACCGCUUUCCUCAGUUACCGGCUUGGGGGCAAGCCGCAAGUCAAGGAGGAGGGGAUGUCAGCACCCCAGCCUCGGCCACGCCAGCACUAGGGGACGCCAAGAGGACCAAUCGCGGAGAAGGGCGCGUCAUCGCCAAGCCAACUAGGAUCAAGCAUCCCAACAGAAGAUUCGUGGGCCCUGAAUGGGUGAGCUCUACUUAA